UCCAAUGUGGUGUAGUGGCUAACAUUGCUGUCUUUCAUGGUCUUGUAAAAAGUGGACGUAAUUGCACAGCAGCCCGGGGUUCGAUUCCCCGCAUUGGAA
This 99-nucleotide transfer RNA is filed under the name Moniliophthora roreri MCA 2997. It matches the Rfam family "tRNA". Rfam says of the family: Transfer RNA (tRNA) molecules are approximately 80 nucleotides in length. Their secondary structure includes four short double-helical elements and three loops (D, anti-codon, and T loops). The record is from Rfam by way of RNAcentral. Lineage: Eukaryota; Fungi; Basidiomycota; Agaricomycetes; Agaricales; Marasmiaceae.